Molecule: ribosomal RNA, 508 nt
Filed under: uncultured bacterium
Lineage: Bacteria
Description: bacterial SSU rRNA
Rfam family: Bacterial small subunit ribosomal RNA
Source: RNAcentral
GAUCAUGGCUCAGGAUGAACGCUAGCGGCAGGCUUAACACAUGCAAGUCGAAGGGCAUCGAGGGAAGUGCUUGCACUUUCNGUCGGCGACUGGCGCACGGGUGAGUAACGCGUAUCCAACCUGCCCACACUUGGGGAUAACCUUGCGAAAGUAAGACUAAUUACCCCAAUGAUAUCCCACGAAGGCAUCCGAAUGGGGAUUUAAAGAUUUUAUCGGGUGAUGGAUGGGGGAUGCGUCUGAUUAGCUUGUUGGCGGGUAACGGCCCACCAAGGCAACGAUCAGUAGGGGUUCUGGGAGGAAGGUCCCCCACAUUGGAACUGAGACACGGUCCAAACUCCUACGGGAGGCAGCAGUGAGGAAUAUUGGUCAAUGGACGGAAGUCUGAACCAGCCAAGUAGCGUGCAGGACGACGGCCCUAUGGGUUGUAAACUGCUUUUAUACGGGGAUAAAGUGGGCCACGUGUGGCUUAUUGCAGGUACCAUAUGAAUAAGGACCGGCUAAUUCCGUG